UUGCGCCUACGGGGCGCAGCAGUAGGGAAUAUUGCCCGAUGGGGGAAACCCUGAAGCAGCAACGCCGCGUGGAGGAUGAAGGCUUUCGGAUUGUAAACUCCUUUUGUUAGAGAAGAUAAUGACGGUAUCUAACGAAUAAGCACCGGCUAACUCCGUGCCAGCAGCCGCGGUAAUACGGAGGGUGCAAGCGUUACUCGGAAUCACUGGGCGUAAAGAGCGCGUAGGCGGGAUAGCAAGUCAGAUGUGAAAUCCUGUGGGUUAACCAUAGAACUGCAUUUGAAACUGUUAUUCUAGAGUAUGGGAGA
RNAcentral lists this ribosomal RNA (305 nucleotides) under uncultured bacterium. RNAcentral's name for it is "bacterial SSU rRNA". It matches the Rfam family "Bacterial small subunit ribosomal RNA", at positions 334 to 655 of the family's 1533-position model. The record is from RNAcentral.